UACGUAGGGGGCAAGCGUUGUCCGGAUUUAUUGGGCGUAAAGAGCGUGUAGGCGGCUAGAUAGGUCCGUUGUGAAAACUCGAGGCUCAACCUCGAGACGUCGAUGGAAACCAUCUGGCUAGAGUCCGGAAGAGGAGAGUGGAAUUCCUGGUGUAGCGGUGAAAUGCGCAGAUAUCAGGAAGAACACCCGUGGCGAAGGCGGCUCUCUGGUACGUGACUGAUGCUGAGACGCGAAAGCGUGGGGAGCAAACAGG
Molecule: ribosomal RNA, 253 nt
Filed under: uncultured bacterium
Lineage: Bacteria
Description: partial 16S ribosomal RNA
Rfam family: Bacterial small subunit ribosomal RNA
Source: RNAcentral